CGGCUGCGGCUGAUGUUCGGGGGUGGGCGGCAGGUGAGUGCGGAGGAGCAGCGCAGCUGAAGUGAGUGAGGAGGACAAGUGAUGGAGUAAAGCGCGUGUGCGUGUGUUGCAGGAGAGCGCGCGCGGCACCUACCCGCAUCUGCAGUGCCCGCCCACCUUCCAGCCCGAGAGCUACUCGCUGGCGCACGCCGCCGCGCGCCGCCCCCGCACGCACCGCCCGCAUCACCCGCAUCACCCGCACCACACGCAUCACCCGCAUCACCCGCACGACUGACGCUCAGAAUUUGUGAGAGAGGACGGAGAGGGACGCGCGGGAGGAUGCGAGGGCGCAGGGCGCAGGGCGCAGGGCGCAGGGCGCAGGGCGCAGGGCGCGAGGCUCCACAUAUUGUAUGCGACAUAUUGAACGUAUAAGUUCCGAGGCGAGACACGCGCUGCUUUAACAACACAGACCGUUAAUCACAGACGUAGUACACUUUGUACGACAAACACGUAGCCGUCCGAUUUACUUUAUUAGCAAGGAUUUACUGUGAAAUGUACGUAUGGAGCUGUGAUGUGUGGGGUGAGGGGGGUGAGGGUGGGUGAGGGGGGGGGGCAGGUGAAUGAGAAACGUCCAGUAUUUUGUACAAUAACUUAGGCUGUGUCUGUGUCUAGUUCCAAGUGAAAGAGCAAAUGUUGUCGACGUGCAGCUGCGCAUUUGAGGACAGUUGACACUUCUUCAUAUGUUUAUAUGAUUUUUUUGGAAUGAAAUAAAUACUCUUUGUACUGUAGCUGCCGUGUAUUUCUUCUUUUAUGUCAUUUUCUAUGUCUCAGUAGAAUUUAUAUAUGUUCUGUUAGAAUGAACCGCGACAGCGGCGCCUCUCAGAGAUAUUCUUCUUUAGUUAUAUUUUUAUCUUAAACGUUUAUAGUUGAGUUGAGUAGGUGGUAGGUGUGGCGAGAUGUGCAGCUUGUUCAUCGUUACCAACAUUUAGAGGUUUGCUCGGAACUAGAGACAGACGUAUAGAGUUAGAGUUAGCUGUUCAGGUUACGACACAAACGUACGUACAAUUUCAAUGUUGUGUCAUUUUUUUAAGAUCAAUAUUUUGAUUGUACAAUGAGUUAUAUUAACGCGAUGCUUUCAAUAUUUACAAUGAAAUUAAGCUGUAAUUAUAUUA
Molecule: long non-coding RNA, 1151 nt
Organism: Papilio xuthus (Asian swallowtail)
Lineage: Eukaryota; Metazoa; Arthropoda; Insecta; Lepidoptera; Papilionidae
Exons: 2
Source: RefSeq, a predicted model, not a curated record